This 446-nucleotide ribosomal RNA is filed under the name uncultured bacterium. RNAcentral describes it as "bacterial SSU rRNA". It matches the Rfam family "Bacterial small subunit ribosomal RNA", at positions 958 to 1398 of the family's 1533-position model. The record is from RNAcentral.
AACGCGAAGAACCUUACCAGCUCUUGACAUGCCCGGUAUGGGCGGGAGAGAUCCCGUUCUUCGGUUCGGCCGGCCGGGACACAGGUGCUGCAUGGCUGUCGUCAGCUCGUGUCGUGAGAUGUUGGGUUAAGUCCCGCAACGAGCGCAACCCUCGUCCUAUGUUGCCAGCGGGUCAUGCCGGGGACUCAUGGGAGACUGCCGGGGUCAACUCGGAGGAAGGUGGGGAUGACGUCAAGUCAUCAUGCCCCUUAUGUCUUGGGCUGCAAACAUGCUACAAUGGCCGGUACAAAGGGCUGCGAGCUCGCGAGGGUAAGCGAAUCCCAUAAAGCCGGUCUCAGUUCGGAUCGGGGUCUGCAACUCGGCCCCGUGAAGCUGGAGUCGCUAGUAAUCGCGGAUCAGCAACGCCGCGGUGAAUACGUUCCCGGGCCUUGUACACACCGCGCAUA